RNAcentral lists this ribosomal RNA (547 nucleotides) under uncultured bacterium. Its description in RNAcentral is "partial 16S ribosomal RNA". It matches the Rfam family "Bacterial small subunit ribosomal RNA", at positions 355 to 895 of the family's 1533-position model. The record is from RNAcentral.
UGGGGAAUUUUGGACAAUGGGCGCAAGCCUGAUCCAGCCAUGCCGCGUGCGGGAAGAAGGCCUUCGGGUUGUAAACCGCUUUUGUCAGGGAAGAAAUCUUCUGAGUUAAUACCUCGGGAGGAUGACGGUACCUGAAGAAUAAGCACCGGCUAACUACGUGCCAGCAGCCGCGGUAAUACGUAGGGUGCAAGCGUUAAUCGGAAUUACUGGGCGUAAAGCGUGCGCAGGCGGUUUUGUAAGACAGAGGUGAAAUCCCCGGGCUCAACCUGGGAACUGCCUUUGUGACUGCAAGGCUUGAGUGCGGCAGAGGGGGAUGGAAUUCCGCGUGUAGCAGUGAAAUGCGUAGAUAUGCGGAGGAACACCGAUGGCGAAGGCAAUCCCCUGGGCCUGCACUGACGCUCAUGCACGAAAGCGUGGGGAGCAAACAGGAUUAGAUACCCUGGUAGUCCACGCCCUAAACGAUGUCAACUGGUUGUUGGGAAGGUUCCUUCUCAGUAACGUAGCUAACGUGUGAAGUUGACCGCCUGGGGAGUACGGCCGCAAGGUU